Long non-coding RNA from Homo sapiens (human), 5940 nucleotides. Ensembl annotates it as SWI/SNF complex interacting GAS6 enhancer non-coding RNA. Its record names the gene SWINGN. NCBI's taxonomy places the organism in Eukaryota, Metazoa, Chordata, Mammalia, Primates, Hominidae. The record is from Ensembl.
GCAGUCAGGACUUAGCUUCCCAGCUGUGAUCUAAAUCCCAGCCUCCCAAAGGCACAGCGCCUAAGUUCUCCCCUGCCAAGCUCACAGCCUUCUCCUUGGCAGGCUGCCCUUUCUCCUGCUGGACCAAACCAAGGAGCACGGUGACCCAGGGACACCACACUCGGUGUCAGCCUCUGAGGCCAUGGAGCCACGCAGACCCAGCACAGGAUUAGAAACAGACCUUCCCGGGAGGCAGAGAGCCAGGCCUCCUGGUUUAUAGCAUGACAAGGCAGCACUCAGGAGGACGCAUCAAUCCUUCUCCAUGUCAGCACCUGUGACUGUGACCACUGGUGAGGUGGACAUGCUUCUUUUUCCAUUUUACAGAUGAGGAAACUGAGGCCAAGGGAGGGUCAGCAGCCUGCCCUGGGCUGACUGGUGAUGCAGCGAGGGUGGGGUGUGGGAGGGUGGCGGCGGCCCUUGCAGUCCCUGGGAACCUGCACCUCUUCCUGGGCGCUGUUCCCCUCUCUCUCCCAGGACCCUUGGGCCUGGCGUUUCUUCACCUGCGACCAUCCAGGAGCUGGACCUGCCCUAGGGCGUCAGUUUCCAGGGAAGCCUCUGGCCUGUGUGUGAGCCUCCCCACCUGCCCGGCCACGGCCUCCACAGGCGCCCUGCGCAGCCCCGCCCCUCCUGGGGCAAAGGCUUUGCGAAGACUUUCUUCUCUGGCUCAUCCCUUUAAGGAGGCAUAAAAACGAACCCCGGGCCUCACAGGUCCGGAAUGCGCCCCCCUCCACGAUGGGAGCUUCUUGGCCUUGGCUGUGCAGGGGCCGCGGCUCCUGGGGGUCUGGCCGGAUCUGCAGUAGUGCUGAAUGAGCUGUGGCCAGGAAGACGCAAUGAAUAAUUGUCACUUAAAAGGAUAAACAGAAAUUCCAUUUCCCUUUUAAAUACUUGAACAUUUCAAAACAUCUGGAGGACGCGAUGCUUUUCCUUCCAAGCAUCUCCGUGGAGUUUUGUGGGUUACCGCAGAGGAUCGGCAGCAUUCCUCUCUCAGGGAAAACUGGCCUGAGCAUUGCAUAACGCAGGCAGACUGCACCCCUCACGUCGCCUGGGGCCACAUGCACAUGUUUCCAAGAGACUUGCUGGAGAAUCUUCCCCGGAUCUUGACAAAGUUGGACAUGGAAAGCACGUUGGUCCAUCCAAGGUCCACAGAGCGACCCUGGCUAUGAAAAAUCAUCCUCCGAGUGGGAGUCUGUCUGCCAGGAGUGAGGUGACACCGCACAUGGCCUCAGGAGCUGGAAACGCUGGUGAAUUCAGAUGCAGCCAAAGCUUCUAACUUAGUCACAGUUAUUAAUUAUUCUUGGUCUUAUUGGAGCAGGAACCACUGCCAUGCAUCAGGCCAGCAAGGCUCACUCCCCACCGUAGGAUCCCUGUGUAGACGGUCGCUCCAUCAGUGUAGUUGGGUGUGUGGAGCAAGGGACUGGGCUGACCCUACCUUCCAAGCAUCGAUGUGGCCUUCAGCAGAGCAGGAGGAGAUAGCCCAGGACUUGUACUUUGCAGUUGAAGUGCCAGACCUAAGAAAUGCAAACCUGAGGAUGGAAAGAGGGUGGAGAGGGGGGAGGUGUCUGGAUUGGCCGUCCAGAGCAGCCCCAGCUGCAGCAAGUGGAACUUGGCUGGCUGCCUCACAGGCCUGGUGGCAGCGUCCCCAGCGAGGAGCCUGUCCCACAUAUGAAGGUCCCCAUACCCUUAGCCCCUAGCUGAGAGUUUCACUGACCAGAGCUCCCUGAGUCCAGGGCUCCACUCAAGGGACUGCUGUCCCCGUUGGUGAAGAAGGCCUGUUGGGGCCAAUGCUUCCCCCCACAGGGAAGCGGAGCUGUAUUUUGUCGGACAGAACUUUGCAAGCCUGAAACAGCUGGUGGUGGCCCCAGAGCCAAGAUCUGACCUCACUCCAGAGUUGAAGGGCACAGAGAAGGCACAGCUAGAGGCGGCAGGUACCCCUCAAAGCUCUCGGGAGAGGGUACAAAGUGGGACCUCCCAGCACCCUUGGCCUCCAGGCCUCAAAAGCCCUGAGAGGGCUGCAUGCAAGGAGACAAAGCUGGAGAAGGAUGUGGGAGGCAGGUGGCUAAGAAGACAGGCUGGAAAGGGACGUGGGAGGUAGGUGGCUUUGCUCUAAACAGAAUCGUCUCAGUAAUGUGACACUGCACAUGUAUAGGUAGGCUCGCUCAUGGGCAUAACCCUCUAAAACACACCUUUUAUGGAGUGAAAUUCACUUAACAGCCAUCUUGAAGCAUAUACUUCGGCGGCAUUUGCUGGAUUCACGACGUUGUGCAACCUCUGCUUCUCCAGUUUCAGAACAUUUCAUCCCUCCAGAACAACAGCUCAUCCCCAUUAAGUAAUCACUCCUCAUUCCUUCCCCAUCCUCUGGAAACCACAGAUCUGCUUUCUGUCUCUAUGGAUUUGUCCGUUUUGGAUAUUUCAUAUAAAAGGAAUCACGCGGUGUGCGAACGUUUGUGUCUCACUUCUUUCGGUGGAAGCCACAUUUCCAAGCCUCAUCCCAGUGGUGGCCCCUGAGUCCCCUCAGUGUAUCAGUGUCUCACUUCUGUUCACAGAUGCAUAAUAUCCCACCCCAGGGACCGGGCACCAUUUGUUAAUCCCUUCACCUGUGGUGGACACCCGGUCGUCUCCGCCUGCCGAGACCAGCUCGGUCAGGGAGACCCUAACCCAGCGGCGCUAGAGGAAUUAAAGACACACACACACACAGAAAUACAGAGGUGUGGAGUGGGAAAUCGGGGCUGACAGCCUUCAGAGCUGAGAGCCUUGAACAGAGAUUUACCCACAUAUUUAUUGACAGCAAGCCAGUGAUAAGCAUUGUUUUUAUAGAUUAUAGAUUUAAAGGCAUUCUUUAUGGGAAAUAAAGGGAUGGGCUGGAAAUAAAGGGAUGGGUUUGGCUGGUUACCUGCAGGAGGAGCAUGCCCUUAAGGCACAGAUCGCUCACGCUAUUGUUUGUGGAUUAAGAAUGUCUUUAAGCGGUUUUCCGCCCUGAAUGGGCCAGGCGUUCCUUGCCCUCAUUCCGGUAAACCCACAACCUUCCAGCGUGGGCGUCAUGACCAUCAUGAGCAUGUUACAGUGCUGCAGAGAUUUUGUUUAUGGCCAGUUUUGGGGCCAGUUUAUGGCCAGAUUUUGGGGGGCCUGUUCCCAACAUCCGCCUUCCAGCUGUUACGAAGGACGUAGCUACGAGCGUCUGUGUGCGCGUUUCCGAGGGAACAGGUUUUGUUUCCAUGGGGCGUGUGCUUAAGGGGUAAAUGCUGAGUCCCAUGCUAAGUGUAUGCCUAAACUUUUUCAGGAACCACCAAAGUGUUUUCUGCAGCAGCCACACCAUUUUACAUUCCCACUCCACAUUCUCGCAUUUUUCUACUUAAAAAAACUCCAGGCAGAGGGAACAGAACAGGUAAAGACCAGAGGCCCAGUAGGCGGUGCUUGGCUGGAGCUCACCAGGGGCUGGACCAGAGGACACGAGAAAGACGGGAGUGGAAGCUGAUGCCCAGUGGUGGAUGGCAACGAGGGCUCGGGUGGCUGGGCCGUGUCGCUUAUGCAGAGGAAACGGAGAUGCUUGGAAAUGCUUUGCAGAGGUGAGAAUAUGGCUUGUUGGGAGAGCGCUUGUGUAUCUGGAAUUAUCUGAGGCCUGGAGGAGUGACACCAGUGACAAAGCCUUUGCAGGACACCCAGGAGGCCAUGGGAGUUGUCAGGUGGGACUGCCAUGAGAGAGGGCUGGAGAGAAGAGGCGGGCAGAGGACACAGCCUGGGAGCAUCUGCAGUCUGGGCAGAGGCGGAAGCAGCCUUCAGGGCGGUAGGUGGGAAGGAGACAGGGCAGAGAGGGUUAUCCAGGACUCUGGGGAGAAGAGGCAGGUCCCAAGUUGUUUACCAAGAAUUUACAUUAAAAUAACAUAAGCUAGGCUGAGUGUUGUCACACCUGUAAUCCCAGCACUUUGGGAGGCCAAGGCAGGCGGAUCAUUUGAGGUGAGGAGUUUGAGACCAGCCUGGCCAACAUGGUGAAACCCCGUCUCUACUAAAAAUACAAAAAAUUAUCCUGGUGUGGUGGCGUGUGCCUGUAAUCCCAGCUACGCUGGAGGCUGAGGCAUGAGACUCGCUUGAAUCCAGGAGGCAGAGGUUGCAGUAAGCUGAGACCACACCACUGCACUGCAGCCUGGGUGACAGAGCAAGACUCCGUCUCAAAAAAAAAUAAGCUAUUGAUGGGCUAUAUAUUGUUAAGCUAUAGGGUGUGGUUACAGUGUCCAGUGUAGCAUUGUUCGAUUAAUUUAUAGCCUCUUGUGGCAACAGCAAGCAGUUUCCAGAGAUGAAUACACAGCUUGAGUAGGCAGGGGGGAGUAGGACAUGACGGCUGCCUCAUCUUAACACCUUGGGCCUGAUAAUUUAAAAGGACUCACAGUCCUCAGAUAAACAUGACUUUCUUUUCUCAUGAGGAAACAGAGAAGGUGGCUAAAGGGUAUCUCUUUCUCUCAUGAUCCCAAACCUAUCAGGUUUUUAUUUCCCACACCACCCAGUUUUCCAGCUCCUUGGAUGCCAACUGGAUGUCCUGGAAUUCCAUUCAAUUCUGAGACUAACAACCUGGGUUGCAGUGCACCGUCCUCCCUCCCGGCAUCUGGAUGAAUUCACCACCCUGGGAGUUUUUGGAACCCCAUCAUUUAGGAUAGACAUCCUAAAUUAUGUGUACCUCAUGGAGGUUCCAUUAUGUAGGUGUGGGGCCAAGGGAGAGCUUUUCCCUCAGCCUUACAAGGGUUCUCUGAAAAGUCAACUCACAAAAAGCAGAUUAACUGGAGAAAAGGCACACAAAUUAAUGUGUAUACAAGGGACCCUUCAGAUAAACAGCUCAUUUUUAUGCUUAGGUUCAAUGAAGUAUGGGCAGCCAUGUAGAAAUAGGAUUGGAGGCUUAGCUGGAUCUGAUGCUAAUGGACUGAGUGGGGAAAGCCAGCCUGGUCUGUGUGUCUGGAUUCUCCUUGGCCUCUCUGAGCAGCGCCCUCUCCUUCUGGGUGUGGGUGGGACCCUCUCUGGAAUGGGGGUCUUAGGAGCUACAGCCAAGCCAGGUAGGUCAGACCAUUUCUUUAUGGCCAGUUUGUACACACAGAGGCACAGGGAAAAUUAGAGCCCUAGUUUUUGGUUGUAUGGCUGGCUUUGGGGAAAGGGGUUCUGGUUUCUAGGACCCACUGUGGGGAAGAAGGAUUCCCAUUUCUAUGGCACCUUGAGUGAGAGUGGUACUGAGACACAGAGGAUGGGAGAAGCUCAGACAGAAACUUGCUUCAGAGGCUGCUGCUGGGGCCCUCAUUUUGGAGUAUGAUCUUCUAAGCCCCAACACAGGCACCAAAAAUAACGUCCUAAGGCCCCCAGUGACUACAUGGACCCGCUCUUGGCCAAGGGGACCCCAGAGAAACCUGGAAAACAGUUCCCGGCCGCAACAGGAAGGGAGAUUGGACGCCUGGCUGUUCCCACUCCCUUUGGAAUUUAGGCAUUAAUGUCAAAACAGAGAUCAGAAGGCUGACAGAACUGACCGUGGCAAUAAGAGCCCCAGUUACAAACAGGACCCAAGACCAUGUCAGACGAGGGUUAAGUCAAGUCAUGCACCCUGUUAGUCACCCCUGCCCCAUGUUUCGGGUGCAGAUGUCCUCAUCGCUGACUCUAGGUUUUAGAUAAAGCUUUGCUCCUUUAACCAGCCGCAAACUGAAGACUCUCUGAAUCCACCUAUAACCGAUAAGGCUUGCUUCCAGAUAUCCCGCGUGUUCGAGCUGAGCCAAUAUAUAUCUCGUCCACCUGUAACGCCUGUCCCCUAAAGUGCAUGAAGCCAGACUGUAAUCCAGGCACCUCAGGAACACUCACUCUAGGCUUCUUGGGUUUGUUUUUUCUCCAAGCUGUGGUCACCGUAUUAGGGGUCCCAAUAAACCUCUUUAAAAUGUU